RNAcentral lists this ribosomal RNA (170 nucleotides) under uncultured soil bacterium. Its description in RNAcentral is "partial 16S ribosomal RNA". It matches the Rfam family "Bacterial small subunit ribosomal RNA", at positions 26 to 206 of the family's 1533-position model. The record is from RNAcentral.
AGAUUGAACGCUGGCGGCAGGCCUAACACAUGCAAGUCGAGCGGCAGCACGGGUACUUGUACCUGGUGGCGAGCGGCGGACGGGUGAGUAAUGCCUAGGAAUCUGCCUGGUAGUGGGGGAUAACGCUCGGAAACGGACGCUAAUACCGCAUACGUCCCUACGGGAGAAAG